UACAUAUUUGAUGCAUUUAGAUCCCACAC
This 29-nucleotide non-coding RNA is filed under the name Mus musculus (house mouse). Lineage: Eukaryota; Metazoa; Chordata; Mammalia; Rodentia; Muridae. The record is from RNAcentral.